This 426-nucleotide long non-coding RNA is filed under the name Zea mays. Its description in RNAcentral is "drought-responsive long non-coding RNA". The record is from RNAcentral. Lineage: Eukaryota; Viridiplantae; Streptophyta; Magnoliopsida; Poales; Poaceae.
AUGGAUGAAGGACUAUUUGUUUUGGUGACACUGGUAGACACAUCAGGCGAAGAUGAUCUGCUUACAGAUAAUAUGCUCUUCCUUGUUGCUGAAGGAACUGAGUUUGAGCCCAGUGAAGCAGCUGGAUAUCGCCCAUCACUUGCACUCCCUCUUACAAGGUAUAGGAAAAAGAUUAGCAGAUCUGUACAUGCGGAAGUAGUAGAAAUUAGCCAAGUACAGUUAGAACUACGAAGGGGAUACCCCUCACAUGUAAGAGAAGAUCUUCGUUGUGACUGGGACGCUGGUGGCAGAGCGGAGGAUCACUCGUCCUCUUCAGCACCCGGGAUCUCCUUCCACGCCUCAAUCAUUCGGUUAAUCGACUCUCGCACAACCUUGACCUUGUCAAACCUUCUGGCCUUGAAGAAGGUGACGCAAGAGGAUUUGUAG